This 768-nucleotide ribosomal RNA is filed under the name uncultured archaeon. RNAcentral describes it as "bacterial SSU rRNA". It matches the Rfam family "Archaeal small subunit ribosomal RNA", at positions 33 to 834 of the family's 1478-position model. The record is from RNAcentral.
CCGGCAUGUCUAGCAUGCGAGUCAUUGUAGCAUACAAGGCAUACGGCUCAGUAACGCGUAGUCAACCUAACCUAUGGACGGGAAUAACCUCGGGAAACUGAGAAUAAUGCCCGAUAGAACAUUAUGCCUGGAAUGGUUUAUGUUCCAAAUGAUUUAUCGCCAUAGGAUGGGACUGCGGCCUAUCAGUUUGUUGGUGAGGUAAUGGCCCACCAAGACUAUUACAGGUACGGGCUCUGAGAGGAGUAGCCCGGAGAUGGGUACUGAGACACGGACCCAGGCCCUAUGGGGCGCAGCAGGCGAGAAAACUUUGCAAUGUGCGAAAGCACGACAAGGUUAAUCCGAGUGAUUUCUGCUAAAGAGAUCUUUUGUUAGUCCUAGAAACACUAACGAAUAAGGGGUGGGCAAGUUCUGGUGUCAGCCGCCGCGGUAAAACCAGCACCUCAAGUGGUCAGGAUGAUUAUUGGGCCUAAAGCAUCCGUAGCCGGCUCUGUAAGUUUUCGGUUAAAUCUGUACGCUCAACGUACAGGCUGCCGGGAAUACUGCAGAACUAGGGAGUGGGAGAGGUAGACGGUACUCGGUAGGAAGUGGUAAAAUGCUUUGAUCUAUCGAUGACCACCUGUGGCGACGCGGUCUACCAGAACACGUCCGACGGUGAGGGAUGAAAGCUGGGGGAGCAAACCGGGAUUAGAUACCCCGGGUAGUCCCAGCUGUAACUAUGCAAACUUCAGUGAAUGCAAUCCUUGGUGGCCAAAUGCAGGUGCCUGGCCA